Molecule: long non-coding RNA, 472 nt
Filed under: Homo sapiens (human)
Lineage: Eukaryota; Metazoa; Chordata; Mammalia; Primates; Hominidae
Description: PREDICTED lncRNA (TCONS_00215259)
Source: RNAcentral
UGGUCCCAGGAAGCCGCUCCCAGGCCACACGGGCAGGGCGCUCGGGAUGCUCGGCGUUGGCGAGUGCAGCGGGCGGUAGAGAGAAAGACAGAGAGAGAGGCGGAGCGGACACGAGGGACCGUGAGAAAACGGAGGAGGAUAAGCCCCGAGAACGGCGGAAAGAGAAGCCAAAAGCAGAAAAACAGAGGAAGGAGAAGGCGAGAAGGGAAGGCUAGCCAGACACAAAUCCAGGAGCCAUUCCUUCUGCCUGGGAGGAGGGAGUGAUGAAGACCAGAGGAAUCCCAGAGGAGAAGCCAUCUGAGAUCGGGAGGAGGAGAAAUGGAACAUCAGGCGGAGGAAACAGCCCAGACAAUCGCACUGGGACGUGAAAACCCUUGGGCUGCAUGCGGGGAGAAAACCAGAAUUGGGGAUGGUUAGGGUUUUGGAGGGAAACACAGGGACAUGUGACCAAAAAUAAUAAUAACUACUGUUA